RNAcentral lists this ribosomal RNA (420 nucleotides) under bacterium. RNAcentral describes it as "partial 16S ribosomal RNA". It matches the Rfam family "Bacterial small subunit ribosomal RNA", at positions 355 to 776 of the family's 1533-position model. The record is from RNAcentral.
UGGGGGAUAUUGCACAAUGGGCGAAAGCCUGAUGCAGCGACGCCGCGUGGGGGAUGAAGGCUUUCGGGUUGUAAACCUCUUUCGCUAUCGAACAAGGCCCGCUUAGGGUGGGUUGAGGGUAGGUGGAGAAGAAGCGCCGGCUAACUACGUGCCAGCAGCCGCGGUAAUCCGUAGGGCGCGAGCGUUGUCCGGAAUUAUUGGGCGUAAAGGGCUUGUAGGCGGCUUGUUGCGCCUGCUGUGAAAACGCGGGGCUUAACUUCGCGCGUGCAGUGGGUACGGGCAGGCUUGAGUGUGGUAGGGGUGACUGGAAUUACAGGUGUAGCGGUGGAAUGCGCAGAUAUCUGGAGGAACACCGAUGGCGAAGGCAGGUCACUGGGCCAUUACUGACGCUGAGGAGCGAAAGCAUGGGUAGCGAACAGG